GAAGGGGNCAAGCGUUGCUCGGAAUUACUGGGCGUAAAGGGCGCGUAGGCGGACAUUUAAGUCAGGGGUGAAAUCCCAGAGCUCAACUCUGGAACUGCCUUUGAUACUGGGUGUCUUGAGUGUGAGAGAGGUAUGUGGAACUCCGAGUGUAGAGGUGAAAUUCGUAGAUAUUCGGAAGAACACCAGUGGCGAAGGCGACAUACUGGCUCAUUACUGACGCUGAGGCGCGAAAGCGUGGGGAGCAAACAGGAUUAGAUACCCUGGUAGUCCACGCCGUAAACGAUGAUUGCUAGUUGUCGGGCUGCAUGCAGUUCGGUGACGCAGCUAACGCAUUAAGCAAUCCGCCUGGGGAGU
RNAcentral lists this ribosomal RNA (354 nucleotides) under uncultured bacterium. RNAcentral's name for it is "bacterial SSU rRNA". It matches the Rfam family "Bacterial small subunit ribosomal RNA", at positions 527 to 881 of the family's 1533-position model. The record is from RNAcentral.